Molecule: long non-coding RNA, 302 nt
Organism: Hippocampus comes (tiger tail seahorse)
Lineage: Eukaryota; Metazoa; Chordata; Actinopteri; Syngnathiformes; Syngnathidae
Exons: 3
Source: RefSeq, a predicted model, not a curated record
UGAUGAUGCAUGACGGAUGCUGUUUUUUAUCGAAGUCCAUUCAUUCAGUUUUCUGUAACCAAUCUUGAAGGAUUGAAUAUUACCUUUUCGGCAGCUGACAACUUUCGAGGAGCUGAGAUGUUUCUCCUAAAAACAUCCGCCGACUGGGGAGUUUAAAGUGGGACCGGCAGAUGAAAGCAUCCCGUCGGCAGACAUAUUGACUUGCGGUACGCUUAUGGAGCACUCCCACAUAAACAUGUCCGCUCUACGGCUCACGGGUGGAAUAACACAGUGGUGCCUUGAGAUAUGAGUGACUCAACUUA